ACGGAAGGCAGCAGUAGGGAAUAUUGCACAAUGGGGGAAACCCUGAUGUAGCAACGCCACGUGUGGGAAGAAGCAUUUCGGUGUGUAAACCACUGUCGUGAGGGAAUAAAGCUGGAGUUGUCCAGUUGAAUGUACCUCGAAAGGAAGCACCGGCAAACUUCGUGCCAGCAGCCGCGGUAAUACGAGGGGUGCAAGCGUUGUUCGGAAUCACUGGGCGUAAAGGGAGCGCAGGCGGAAGUGCAAGCGGUCUGUACAAUACCGGGGCCCAACCCCGGACCUGCAGACCGGACUGCAUUUCUUGGAUAGUUCAGGGGCAAGCGGAAUUCCUGGUGUAGCGGUGGAAUGCGUAGAGAUCAGGAAGAACACCGAUGGCGAAGGCGGCUUGCUGGGGACUUAUCGACGCUCAUGCUCGAAAGUGCGGGUAGCAAACAGGAUUAGAUACCCUGGUA
Molecule: ribosomal RNA, 449 nt
Filed under: uncultured Fibrobacter sp.
Lineage: Bacteria; Pseudomonadati; Fibrobacterota; Fibrobacteria; Fibrobacterales; Fibrobacteraceae
Description: partial 16S ribosomal RNA
Rfam family: Bacterial small subunit ribosomal RNA
Source: RNAcentral